RNAcentral lists this long non-coding RNA (1348 nucleotides) under Monodelphis domestica (gray short-tailed opossum). RNAcentral describes it as "lncRNA (ENSMODG00000034881.2)". Lineage: Eukaryota; Metazoa; Chordata; Mammalia; Didelphimorphia; Didelphidae. The record is from RNAcentral.
UAAAAUUUUGUACGAAAAAAAUCUUCAAGGAAAGAAACUUACUAACUCCCAAAAUCCAGAGAAUGAACUGUUUUCAGAAAGAUGCCUGCAAAACCUACACUACAUCAAGAAGAUCCAGAAUGAACUUUGAGAUAUAGUUAAUAGAACUGAAGGUUGAAUGAACAUUUAUUUUGAUUAUAUACUCUUAUGCCAAAAGGGGUCUGCCCCCUAAUUGGUUUUUGUCAAUGCACCCAACAAAACAUUGGUUUUGCUUCCUCUCUCUUCUAUUUCCCUCUUAUCUCUAACUAUUAUAGUUUUCCUCAUAGAAGGUGAAAUUUUAUAUGCACCUGUAGUUAGAAGAUUUUAGAGGUACAAGAUGAUUAUAUUAAGUGAUCAACUGGGGAGACUAGUCUCCUGAUCACCAUCAGGGAAUUGUGAAAUUGAGAUUUACUCCACCUUACUUAUUCUUUAGAAUUUUAGCCACCAGGAAGGUAUACACCUCCACUUAAGGAUUAAGUAUGGGAGGGUUAGGUCUAUGACCCAAGUGUGCUAGCAAGUGACAAAUCAGAAACAACUGACUGCCCUCCUGGGCAGUCCAAAGCCAAGUUUAAGCCACCAUUGGUACACAUAAGACACAGGAAGUGAUGCAAAGAACUGCCUUUAUAUUUCGCAGUCACUUCCUGUGAGGAGGUUUUCUCCUUGGAACUUGACUAUGGAGGAGCUACGGUUUGAGAUCUCAGACUGCUUCCCCUUGGACUGCCACAUGAAUGAACAGUCAGGAGGUCCUACCCAGCGAUGUGUGUUUACUUCAACUCAAGACGGAAGGGUUGUUCUUUCCACUGGCUUUCCAAUCAAGACACUGACAGCCAGCCAGCCAGCCAUCAAAUUCCCUGCUGGUGAGACUCUGCCUCCUGUUCUUUCUCUGGAUCUUCUGCACACAUAUAAUUGCAGAUGCAUGGGCCCCCUAAGCAAAAGAAGACCCAGAUUUCCUCCUUCUUCUCCUGCCACCCAGUGGAUUUUCCUCCAACCAGAAGUCAUGAAAAUGCAUCUGGAUCCCAGAGAGGAGCUGAUGUUUGAUUCUGCACAUAGUAUGAAAGAAAAAGUCUCCGUCCAGUAUAUCACUGUUUUGUGCCUCUCCUAUGUGUGGUGUCAUGUAUUCUUUCUGCUAGCUGUCUCCCCACUGCUUCUGGUAAGUGAAUACUGCCAUCUGGCAGGCCCAGCCAUCCAUAGGGGAACCACACAGCCUCCAGGAGGGUCAGAAUCUCAGGCCCCACCUGGUUCAGUGCCCCCUGCCAUCCCAUCCCCUCCCCUCUCCAAAUAUUUAAGGAGAAAAGGGCGAAGGUCCAAGUCUUCUGUAGCUUCUUUAUAG